This 373-nucleotide ribosomal RNA is filed under the name uncultured organism. RNAcentral describes it as "partial 16S ribosomal RNA". It matches the Rfam family "Bacterial small subunit ribosomal RNA", at positions 527 to 896 of the family's 1533-position model. The record is from RNAcentral.
GUAGGUGGCAAGCGUUGUCCGGAAUUAUUGGGCGUAAAGCGCGCGCAGGGCGGUCCUUUAAGUCUGAUGUGAAAGCCCACGGCUCAACCGUGGAGGGUCAUUGGAAACUGGGGGACUUGAGUACAGAAGAGGAAAGCGGAAUUCCAAGUGUAGCGGUGAAAUGCGUAGAGAUUUGGAGGAACACCAGUGGCGAAGGCGGCUUUCUGGUCUGUAACUGACGCUGAGGCGCGAAAGCGUGGGGAGCAAACAGGAUUAGAUACCCUGGUAGUCCACGCCGUAAACGAUGAGUGCUAAGUGUUAGGGGGUUUCCGCCCCCUUAGUGCAGCAGCUAACGCAUUAAGCACUCCGCCUGGGGAGUACGGCCGCAAGGCUA